This 1489-nucleotide ribosomal RNA is filed under the name Lactiplantibacillus pentosus. RNAcentral's name for it is "bacterial SSU rRNA". It matches the Rfam family "Bacterial small subunit ribosomal RNA". RNAcentral also lists the same sequence under 1 other name. Lineage: Bacteria; Bacillati; Bacillota; Bacilli; Lactobacillales; Lactobacillaceae. The record is from RNAcentral.
GACGAACGCUGGCGGCGUGCCUAAUACAUGCAAGUCGAACGAACUCUGGUAUUGAUUGGUGCUUGCAUCAUGAUUUACAUUUGAGUGAGUGGCGAACUGGUGAGUAACACGUGGGAAACCUGCCCAGAAGCGGGGGAUAACACCUGGAAACAGAUGCUAAUACCGCAUAACAACUUGGACCGCAUGGUCCGAGUUUGAAAGAUGGCUUCGGCUAUCACUUUUGGAUGGUCCCGCGGCGUAUUAGCUAGAUGGUGAGGUAACGGCUCACCAUGGCAAUGAUACGUAGCCGACCUGAGAGGGUAAUCGGCCACAUUGGGACUGAGACACGGCCCAAACUCCUACGGGAGGCAGCAGUAGGGAAUCUUCCACAAUGGACGAAAGUCUGAUGGAGCAACGCCGCGUGAGUGAAGAAGGGUUUCGGCUCGUAAAACUCUGUUGUUAAAGAAGAACAUAUCUGAGAGUAACUGUUCAGGUAUUGACGGUAUUUAACCAGAAAGCCACGGCUAACUACGUGCCAGCAGCCGCGGUAAUACGUAGGUGGCAAGCGUUGUCCGGAUUUAUUGGGCGUAAAGCGAGCGCAGGCGGUUUUUUAAGUCUGAUGUGAAAGCCUUCGGCUCAACCGAAGAAGUGCAUCGGAAACUGGGGAACUUGAGUGCAGAAGAGGACAGUGGAACUCCAUGUGUAGCGGUGAAAUGCGUAGAUAUAUGGAAGAACACCAGUGGCGAAGGCGGCUGUCUGGUCUGUAACUGACGCUGAGGCUCGAAAGUAUGGGUAGCAAACAGGAUUAGAUACCCUGGUAGUCCAUACCGUAAACGAUGAGUGCUAAGUGUUGGAGGGUUUCCGCCCUUCAGUGCUGCAGCUAACGCAUUAAGCAUUCCGCCUGGGGAGUACGGCCGCAAGGCUGAAACUCAAAGGAAUUGACGGGGGCCCGCACAAGCGGUGGAGCAUGUGGUUUAAUUCGAAGCUACGCGAAGAACCUUACCAGGUCUUGACAUACUAUGCAAAUCUAAGAGAUUAGACGUUCCCUUUGGGGACAUGGAUACAGGUGGUGCAUGGUUGUCGUCAGCUCGUGUCGUGAGAUGUUGGGUUAAGUCCCGCAACGAGCGCAACCCUUAUUAUCAGUUGCCAGCAUUAAGUUGGGCACUCUGGUGAGACUGCCGGUGACAAACCGGAGGAAGGUGGGGAUGACGUCAAAUCAUCAUGCCCCUUAUGACCUGGGCUACACACGUGCUACAAUGGAUGGUACAACGAGUUGCGAACUCGCGAGAGUAAGCUAAUCUCUUAAAGCCAUUCUCAGUUCGGAUUGUAGGCUGCAACUCGCCUACAUGAAGUCGGAAUCGCUAGUAAUCGCGGAUCAGCAUGCCGCGGUGAAUACGUUCCCGGGCCUUGUACACACCGCCCGUCACACCAUGAGAGUUUGUAACACCCAAAGUCGGUGGGGUAACCUUUUAGGAACCAGCCGCCUAAGGUGGGACAGAUGAUUAGGGUG